Molecule: ribosomal RNA, 465 nt
Filed under: uncultured bacterium
Lineage: Bacteria
Description: partial 16S ribosomal RNA
Rfam family: Bacterial small subunit ribosomal RNA
Source: RNAcentral
GACGAACGCUGGCGGCGUGCUUAACACAUGCCAGUCGAGCGAGGCCCCUCCUUCGGGAGGGUGUCCUAGCGGCGAACGGGUGAGUAACACGUGGGCAACCUGCCCUCAGCUCUGGGAUAACUCCGGGAAACCGGGGCUAAUACCGGAUACGACCUCCACGGGCAUCUGCGGAGGUGGAAAGUUUUUCGGCUGAGGAUGGGCCCGCGGCCUAUCAGCUAGUUGGUGGGGUAGUGGCCCACCAAGGCGACGACGGGUAGCCGGCCUGAGAGGGCGACCGGCCACACUGGGACUGAGACACGGCCCAGACUCCUACGGGAGGCAGCAGUGGGGAAUAUUGCGCAAUGGGCGAAAGCCUGACGCAGCGACGCCGCGUGAGGGACGAAGGCCUUCGGGUUGUAAACCUCUUUCAGCAGGGACGGAGCGAAAGUGACGGUACCUGCAGAAGAAGCACCGGCCAACUACGUG